UCUGCCCUUCACUCUGGGACAAGCCCUGGAAACGGGGUCUAAUACCGGAUACCACUCUCGCAGGCAUCUGUGAGGGUUGAAAGCUCCGGCGGUGAAGGAUGAGCCCGCGGCCUAUCAGCUUGUUGGUGAGGUAACGGCUCACCAAGGCGACGACGGGUAGCCGGCCUGAGAGGGCGACCGGCCACACUGGGACUGAGACACGGCCCAGACUCCUACGGGAGGCAGCAGUGGGGAAUAUUGCACAAUGGGCGAAAGCCUGAUGCAGCGACGCCGCGUGAGGGAUGACGGCCUUCGGGUUGUAAACCUCUUUCAGCAGGGAAGAAGCGAAAGUGACGGUACCUGCAGAAGAAGCGCCGGCUAACUACGUGCCAGCAGCCGCGGUAAUACGUAGGGCGCAAGCGUUGUCCGGAAUUAUUGGGCGUAAAGAGCUCGUAGGCGGCUUGUCACGUCGGGUGUGAAAGCCCGGGGCUUAACCCCGGGUCUGCAUUCGAUACGGGCUAGCUAGAGUGUGGUAGGGGAGAUCGGAAUUCCUGGUGUAGCGGUGAAAUGCGCAGAUAUCAGGAGGAACACCGGUGGCGAAGGCGGAUCUCUGGGCCAUUACUGACGCUGAGGAGCGAAAGCGUGGGGAGCGAACAGGAUUAGAUACCCUGGUAGUCCACGCCGUAAACGGUGGGAACUAGGUGUUGGCGACAUUCCACGUCGUCGGUGCCGCAGCUAACGC
Molecule: ribosomal RNA, 721 nt
Filed under: Streptomyces capoamus
Lineage: Bacteria; Bacillati; Actinomycetota; Actinomycetes; Kitasatosporales; Streptomycetaceae
Description: bacterial SSU rRNA
Rfam family: Bacterial small subunit ribosomal RNA
Source: RNAcentral